ACCACCCCUGGUCCAAAACCUCAGGACAGAGUUUCUGGGUUUAAGAGGCAAGGGCAAGAAUCCAGCCUCAGCCAAGCACUAGGUGGGUCAGGAUGGAUCAGGAUACUGUCCUCUCAACAUUUCUGUCCAAAUUCCUCAGUGAGUGACAUGGGCUCACCACCUCCAAGAAAUGGGGAAUGGAGGCAGCCUUGGCGGUGAUCACUCAUGUUCAAAAGCUCCUGUCCAGAAGAUACCCCCAAUCCCCAUUUCCUUUACCUCUGAAAACCAGCAUGCUACUGCAGAGGGCAGAGGAGCCCAGCCCAGUUUACAAAGCAGGCCCAAGCGAAGGGUAAUUUCAGCUCUUCCUAGCUGGGCAAACAUGACACUUGAUGGCCGCAAGUCUGAGGAAACUCACCUGGGCCCUGAGUCUGCCCAGGCCUCCUGGGGAUCCUGGCCUCCAGUUCUGGGGACUCAGGCCUUUGCUCUCUCUAUUCAUCUUUCAGGGAAAUAACAAGGCAGGCUGGAUCCCUGUGGGGUCUUGCAAGAAGCUAUGACUUCCUUAGGACUACUGUGUGCUGGGUACCAUGGUGAGGGUCUCAGCAUUAGCUCGUCGAAUUCUCACCCUGCCUUAGAUGUUCUAUUACUAUCUCCCCUUCAGAGAAAACUGCUACUUUGAGUCACUUGGUCAAUCAGGCUUCAAACUCAGGCUCUCCUGAACAAAGUUUCCUGUUUGACAUCUUAGCCCAGCUCUGCCUCCUCUUCCAUAGACUCUCUGUGUGGUCCUGGGCAAGUUGCUAACCCUCUCCGGGCAUCUCGAAACCAAGGGUGAGGUCUCAUGACAGUGGCAGGGCCUCUUUGGGGAUUUCAUGUCCUGAGCCUCCACCUUUCUGGCCCUGGCUUCUGUGGGCCUGGAGAUCUGGGGGUGAAGCAGAGGGAAUAGUGCUUUCACUUCCCAGCCACUGAGAACUGGAAGAUAGAUCCCACUCAGCUAACGCAGGGCCCAGGAAUCACGUGGCUUCAGAGGCAGCUCAGUGCCCAUCAGGAGGGUGCGGUCUGCACGGGGCCGGCCUGUGGGUGCCCAUGCAAUGUUCUGCUCACACCUACCUUCAGAGUAGACUUACGUUUUAUAAAUUGCCUUGCCUUCCAGGAACCAUCAAUGGGAAAGAAGGCCAUUGCUUAGGCCUAGGCCUGGGGAGUGGGGAGCCAGGAGGUCCAGGAGGCCAGCAGGAAGGCAAUGGGAAGAGGCUAUAGGUCUGGGGGGAACAGAGGACCUGUACAGGGUACAGUGACUACGGCCUCCUGGGCUGGAGGCCCUCAGUGGCCUGGGGGAGCAAGGGACUGGCACAUGCGGGGGUGAAAUCCUACCUCUCCAGGACUGCCUUGUCUGUCUUCACAAUUCACCCCUCACUCCCCAAAAGGGAGCUCAGGGACUAAAAGCGAGGAGGAGUGUCACCUUAUUGAGAGCUUCCUGUUUGCCAGGCAUUUCUCAUUCGAUCCUCUCCACAAGCCAGAAGAUGUAAUUCCCCACUGAAGACAAAGGCUCAGAGAGGUUAAGUGACUUGCUUAGGGCCUCACAGUUAUUCAGUGAGUUGGGCCAGAUCUCAGGAUGGAGAAUGGAGACUUGCCUUCAUUCAUCACCAGGCUAUGGUGCAGACAAGGUGACCCUCUGAGUCCUUUGGGGUGGAUGGUGGAAUGAUCACUCACCUUCCAGGGAAUGAUCGGGUCCCCUCCCAUGGCAGUGGGUCAUGGGGAGUAGAUUUAGUCUUCGCACGUUGGUGGAUCGGGAGGCAUUUGGUCCCUGCCCCGUUCUGAGGUGACUGUGUGUCUAGAGGUAGGUGGUUGGGCCCAGCAGAGAGUAGAUGUGCCCCUCAGCACAGCAGGUGCCCCUGGACUGCCUCCUCCCUCUUUGCCAGUCCAGUUGCCCACUCCAUUCUCCGAAGCCACACCUGCCCAGCCUUCUGGCCUUGGCUCUCCAGGCUUUCCACCAGGGAUGCUAUCUUCUCCAUUCCCAUCAUGGACCUCUGCCCCGUGGUUCCAGACCCAGCUCAGCCACCGCCCCCUUCUUGUGCUGGGAGGCCCAGGAGAGGCAACAGAGAGCCUGUUUUGGGAGUUAGGACACCUUUGCUCCCAGCCCACCACUGUCCCACUUGCAGGGUGUCUUGGGCACAUCACAGACUCUCUCUGUGCUGCUGUCUCCCCGCCUGUCAGGUAGGAGAGUAUGGGACAUGGGAUGUCCAGUGGUACUUCUGCCUCUGACUGAGCCUUUGACUCUUGAGCUAGGGGGCACCUCAGGGUUUAGCGGGGCCUUGCUUUGGGGAAUGCCCUCAGAAGAUCUCCUUACGCUGUGUAGGGAAAGGAAAACAUGUGCGUUCAGAGGGGACGGGCCAGGGCUGUGAGUAGGUCACGACCUUAACACCUUGCUUCACAAGGUACCGCUCAUCUUCUGAGCCUUGCAAUGGCCCUUUUCCCAGGAUGAAACCGAGCCCCGAAAGGAGGUGGUGGCUUUCCCAUGGCCACACAGCUGGCAAGUGUCAGAGCGGGAACAAGAACCAGGACCAGAAAGGGGCUUCGGAGGUCAUCGAAGUGAGAACCCCUAGGUCUCAUUCUUCUCGGGAGGUGCCUGUCUCUGCUUGCAUCCUUCCGGGAAUGGGGAGCUUGCUCCUUCACAUGGCGGACCCUGCUCAGUGGUGUGGUGCUAUCUGUGUACUCGGCUUAUCUUUCCGCCAGACUGAGAGGCAGCGGACUUGCUGAAAGAGCGUGGACUUUGGAGCCCUGCGACCUGGCCCUGAAUCCCAGCCUUGCCACUUAGGGCCGUGAGCCCUAGGGAAGCUCCUACCACCGUGGGGACCUCAGCUUCCCUAUCUGUAAAGUGGGGCUGGUCAUAAGUACUUCCAAGGUGGUCUGACCAUUAGAUGAGAUUAGAAACGUAACUCCCCUUUCCUGUUCCAGUCUGGGACUCCCAUCUCUCGGGGACAGAGAUUGUGUCCAGUGCUGCUGCGUGCUCUCCCGGUUAUGACGGCGGUAUAAAUAUUAACAACAAUGGUAAACACAUAUAGCAAUGUGACUACGUGCAGUGUAUUGUGUGAAGAACUUACAUGCGCUAACUCAUUUCAUUCUCACAACAGCCUCGUGGCAUCGGAACUAUUCCUCCCAUUGACAGAUGAGCAAUCUGAAGCACAGAAAGGUUAGACAGCAAGCCCAAGGUCACACAGCGAGUGGGAGAGCUGAGAUUUGAAUCAAGAAAAUCAGUUCCAGGGCUGUAGCUGUGGAACACUAUAUUAAAUGGCCAUGGGAGAAGGGCUUGAAGGGGCUUCUAGAGCCAUAGGGUGGGGGAGCUGUCCACGGGCUACCCUGGCCUUGACAUUCUUGUCCUGUCCUGUGGGGUCGGGGUGGACAGAGAAGCUCCUGGUCUGUCCUCUGGAACCUCUGAACAGGUAAAGUGGUUAACGCUGAAGAGAGGGAUGUCUCUAGGUCCCUAGGGGCAGGGGACUGAGAGGCCACUAAUGGAUUAGGCAAUCAGGCAAUCAGAGAAGGCUUCGUGGAAGAAGGGGCAUUUGCAGUGGGCCUUGACCGAUGAAGAUCUGGGUGGGGAAAGACAAGGCAAAACAGCAGGAGUGAAAGUGAACAGUGGAAGAGGUAUAUUAGGGAUUCACUUAGGUGUCAGUCUAGACCUUCUCCUGGGUGCCGGUGGGCAGGUAGAGCAGAUAAGGUGAAUACAGGGAAGGAGGGUGUGUUAGUCGUCUAGUCUGUGAUUCAGAAAUUGCUGAGGGAACCGUUUCAGGGACUCUGAAAGCCAGGACAGACCCUGAAGAGCUGAGAGCCACUUGGGCUGCCCUAGGGGCCAGGUUGGCAUUUUGCUUCUUUUGAAGCUGCUCUGAGUACUCAGAGCCCUGGGUUCCUGAAUCCAGCUCUUGGUUAUAUCCCUCCGUUUCUCAGAGCCUUAGUUUCCCUAUCUGCAGAACGGGCAUGAAGAGUGGACCUGGGGUGCCAGUUGAAGGAGGAAACAGGGUGGUGGUGGGGCCAUGCCCGACACUCCUGGGGUAGGAAGUGGGUGGGAGGUUUGUGGAGGGGAGGACAUGGGAAGCCGGACAGGGGUGGAUGGGAGGAGCUCCAUGUGCGUGGCCAGUGGUGCCAAGCCUGCCGAGUUGGUUCAGGUUGUGCCUCGUGACUCGCCCCACACCACAUGCUCCAUUUUCCCGGCAUUGCCAAAGGCUGCCCAGCUCUGCUGGCUUAAAAACAAUCUCCCUCCGAGGCUUCUGCAAGGACAGCGCCUGGCAGGCUGUGGGCUGACCCGGCUCCUCUGGCCGGCCGGCCGGCUUUUGGCCCACUACUCCCCUCCAGGUAGCACUAAUGUACUAAUGAAUGCUUUGAGAGCAUUCAUUGUGUGCCAAGGGCUGUUUUAAACGCUUCCAUUAUAUUAACUAAUUUAAUCCUCACCACCACACUGAUGACACCCAACUCGGGCGAGGAAACAGACACGGACAGGUUCAGCCUGGUGGUCCCACUCCAGUUGCACGGCAGGACAGGUGAAGCCUGAGAGGUGGAAAGAGCCCACGGAGCCUGGCAGCAAGGCCUGCAAGGGGCAGUCUGCACCCCUUCUGGCUGUUUCCCUGUGGGGGGACCCUCACACAAGCAGUUCCUCUGUCUGCACGUGUGCGUAUGUCCGCACGCUGGACACCGCGGUCGUGCAGACCCACAGAGAUAGUCCCACAUGGGUCUCACUGUCACUGAGUCACAGACACAUCCACGGGUACAGGCACCAUGCCCACCCUGCCGCAGACACACACACACACGCACACUCAUGCCUAGGCACCCAGUGGCCACACUGCCUGACAGAUACACAUGUGAGUGUCCCUCACACACCCCUAGAUCUCCCCCUCCACACACACACACACACACAGAGGCACACACGCUCCUAUGUCCUCCAAAUGACCCAGUGGGAUCUGUGAACUCACGUUGCAUCCCCCUGGCCUCCAGCCUCUGCGGAUGGCCCUCUGGCCCAUUCUUUACCCUUCAAGCCCAUGGCUCCAGAAUGUGGACACUCUGCAGGUCCCGCCCAAAUCCUUGC
Long non-coding RNA from Ailuropoda melanoleuca (giant panda), 5047 nucleotides. RefSeq lists it as uncharacterized. NCBI's taxonomy places the organism in Eukaryota, Metazoa, Chordata, Mammalia, Carnivora, Ursidae. The transcript has 3 exons. The record is from RefSeq and is a predicted model, not a curated record.